UUUUAUUUUAAUUCAAAGUAAAAAAUAUAAUAAUAAAUAAUAUUAUUCAUAUUUACUUAAAUAGGCCGACCUAAUAGGCUUAAGAGUCUUUUUGAAUGGCCUAUGGCCUGACCUUUUAAGCUAAAUAGGCUUCUAAAAAAGCCUAGGCCUUCUCUGUUUAAGAAAAAAGUCUGGCCUAUCGUAGGCUAGGCCAUAGGCCCCUGUAUGC
Molecule: long non-coding RNA, 208 nt
Filed under: Medicago truncatula (barrel medic)
Lineage: Eukaryota; Viridiplantae; Streptophyta; Magnoliopsida; Fabales; Fabaceae
Description: long non-coding RNA (MTRU_LNC000619)
Source: RNAcentral